Molecule: ribosomal RNA, 278 nt
Filed under: Pectobacterium sp. LM2605
Lineage: Bacteria; Pseudomonadati; Pseudomonadota; Gammaproteobacteria; Enterobacterales; Pectobacteriaceae
Description: partial 16S ribosomal RNA
Rfam family: Bacterial small subunit ribosomal RNA
Source: RNAcentral
GCUAAUACCGCAUAACGUCUUCGGACCAAAGAGGGGGACCUUCGGGCCUCUUGCCAUCAGAUGUGCCCAGAUGGGAUUAGCUAGUAGGCGGGGUAAUGGCCCACCUAGGCGACGAUCCCUAGCUGGUCUGAGAGGAUGACCAGCCACACUGGAACUGAGACACGGUCCAGACUCCUACGGGAGGCAGCAGUGGGGAAUAUUGCACAAUGGGCGCAAGCCUGAUGCAGCCAUGCCGCGUGUGUGAAGAAGGCCUUCGGGUUGUAAAGCACUUUCAGCGG